GAUGAUAAUGACAGUANCUGGUAAAGAAACCCCGGCUAACUCCGUGCCAGCAGCCGCGGUAAUACGGAGGGGGUUAGCGUUGUUCGGAAUUACUGGGCGUAAAGCGCNCGUAGGCGGAUNNUUAAGUUAGAGGUGAAAUCCCGGGGCUCAACCCCGGAACUGCCUUNAAUACUGGCNAUCUAGAGUUCGAGAGAGGUGAGUGGAAUUCCGAGUGUAGAGGUGAAAUUCGUAGAUAUUCGGAGGAACACCAGUGGCGAAGGCGGCUCACUGGCUCGAUACUGACGCUGAGGUGCGAAAGUGUGGGGAGCAAACAGGAUUAGAUACCCUGGUAGUCCACACCGUAAACGAUGAAUGCCAGUCGUCGGGUAGCAUGCUAUUCGGUGACACACCUAACGGAUUAAGCAUUCCGCCUGGGGAGUACGAUCGCAGU
RNAcentral lists this ribosomal RNA (430 nucleotides) under uncultured Roseobacter sp. RNAcentral describes it as "bacterial SSU rRNA". It matches the Rfam family "Bacterial small subunit ribosomal RNA", at positions 462 to 892 of the family's 1533-position model. Lineage: Bacteria; Pseudomonadati; Pseudomonadota; Alphaproteobacteria; Rhodobacterales; Roseobacteraceae. The record is from RNAcentral.